GAAGGUGGCCUGUGAGGGUUGCUGGAGGUAUCAGAAGUGCGAAUGCUGACAUAAGUAACGAUAAAGCGGGUGAAAAGCCCGCUCGCCGGAAGACCAAGGGUUCCUGUCCAACGUUAAUCGGGGCAGGGUGAGUCGACCCCUAAGGCGAGGCCGAAAGGCGUAGUCGAUGGGAAACGGGUUAAUAUUCCCGUACUUGGUGUUACUGCGAAGGGGGGACGGAGAAGGCUAUGUUGGCCGGGCGACGGUUGUCCCGGUUUAAGCGUGUAGGUGUGUGUUCCAGGUAAAUCCGGUUCACUUUAACACUGAGGCGUGACGACGAGGCACUACGGUGCUGAAGCAACAAAUGCCCUGCUUCCAGGAAAAGCCUCUAAGCAUCAGGUAACAUCAAAUCGUACCCCAAACCGACACAGGUGGUCAGGUAGAGAAUACCAAGGCGCUUGAGAGAACUCGGGUGAAGGAACUAGGCAAAAUGGUGCCGUAACUUCGGGAGAAGGCACGCUGACAUGUAGGUGAAGUGAUUUACUCAUGGAGCUGAAGUCAGUCGAAGAUACCAGCUGGCUGCAACUGUUUAUUAAAAACACAGCACUGUGCAAACACGAAAGUGGACGUAUACGGUGUGACGCCUGCCCGGUGCCGGAAGGUUAAUUGAUGGGGUCAGCGCAAGCGAAGCUCCUGAUCGAAGCCCCGGUAAACGGCGGCCGUAACUAUAACGGUCCUAAGGUAGCGAAAUUCCUUGUCGGGUAAGUUCCGACCUGCACGAAUGGCGUAAUGAUGGCCAGGCUGUCUCCACCCGAGACUCAGUGAAAUUGAACUCGCUGUGAAGAUGCAGUGUACCCGCGGCAAGACGGAAAGACCCCGUGAACCUUUACUAUAGCUUGACACUGAACAUUGAGCCUUGAUGUGUAGGAUAGGUGGGAGGCUUUGAAGUGUGGACGCCAGUCUGCAUGGAGCCGACCUUGAAAUACCACCCUUUAAUGUUUGAUGUUCUAACGUGGACCCGUAAUCCGGGUUGCGGACAGUGUCUGGUGGGUAGUUUGACUGGGGCGGUCUCCUCCUAAAGAGUAACGGAGGAGCACGAAGGUUGGCUAAUCCUGGUCGGACAUCAGGAGGUUAGUGCAAUGGCAUAAGCCAGCUUGACUGCGAGCGUGACGGCGCGAGCAGGUGCGAAAGCAGGUCAUAGUGAUCCGGUGGUUCUGAAUGGAAGGGCCAUCGCUCAACGGAUAAAAGGUACUCCGGGGAUAACAGGCUGAUACCGCCCAAGAGUUCAUAUCGACGGCGGUGUUUGGCACCUCGAUGUCGGCUCAUCACAUCCUGGGGCUGAAGUAGGUCCCAAGGGUAUGGCUGUUCGCCAUUUAAAGUGGUACGCGAGCUGGGUUUAGAACGUCGUGAGACAGUUCGGUCCCUAUCUGCCGUGGGCGCUGGAGAACUGAGGGGGGCUGCUCCUAGUACGAGAGGACCGGAGUGGACGCAUCACUGGUGUUCGGGUUGUCAUGCCAAUGGCACUGCCCGGUAGCUAAAUGCGGAAGAGAUAAGUGCUGAAAGCAUCUAAGCACGAAACUUGCCCCGAGAUGAGUUCUCCCUGAGACUU
This 1588-nucleotide ribosomal RNA is filed under the name Salmonella enterica subsp. enterica serovar Gaminara. Its description in RNAcentral is "partial 23S ribosomal RNA". It matches the Rfam family "Bacterial large subunit ribosomal RNA", at positions 1252 to 2823 of the family's 2925-position model. Lineage: Bacteria; Pseudomonadati; Pseudomonadota; Gammaproteobacteria; Enterobacterales; Enterobacteriaceae. The record is from RNAcentral.